Molecule: long non-coding RNA, 1328 nt
Filed under: Homo sapiens (human)
Lineage: Eukaryota; Metazoa; Chordata; Mammalia; Primates; Hominidae
Description: HSALNT0188874
Source: RNAcentral
UUUUUUCCCACCUCUCUUAAAAAUAUGUCUGAACUUUGAAGUGAGUUUACUGGGACCUGUGACCACUCCUGAACAUCAGCUUCUCAAGACUCCUUCAUCUAGUUCCCUGUCACAGAGAGUCCGUUCCACCCUCACCAAGAACACUCCUAGAUUUGGGAGCAAAAGCAAGUCUGCCACUAACCUAGGACGACAAGGCAACUUUUUUGCUUCUCCAAUGCUCAAGUGAAGUCACAUCUGCCUGUUACUUCCCAGCAUUGACUGACUAUAAGAAAGGACACAUCUGUACUCUGCUCUGCAGCCUCCUGUACUCAUUACUACUUUUAGCAUUCUCCAGGCUUUUACUCAAGUUUAAUUGUGCAUGAGGGUUUUAUUAAAACUAUAUAUAUCUCCCCUUCCUUCUCCUCAAGUCACAUAAUAUCAGCACUUUGUGCUGGUCAUUGUUGGGAGCUUUUAGAUGAGACAUCUUUCCAGGGGUAGAAGGGUUAGUAUGGAAUUGGUUGUGAUUCUUUUUGGGGAAGGGGGUUAUUGUUCCUUUGGCUUAAAGCCAAAUGCUGCUCAUAGAAUGAUCUUUCUCUAGUUUCAUUUAGAACUGAUUUCCGUGAGACAAUGACAGAAACCCUACCUAUCUGAUAAGAUUAGCUUGUCUCAGGGUGGGAAGUGGGAGGGCAGGGCAAAGAAAGGAUUAGACCAGAGGAUUUAGGAUGCCUCCUUCUAAGAACCAGAAGUUCUCAUUCCCCAUUAUGAACUGAGCUAUAAUAUGGAGCUUUCAUAAAAAUGGGAUGCAUUGAGGACAGAACUAGUGAUGGGAGUAUGCGUAGCUUUGAUUUGGAUGAUUAGGUCUUUAAUAGUGUUGAGUGGCACAACCUUGUAAAUGUGAAAGUACAACUCGUAUUUAUCUCUGAUGUGCUGCUGGCUGAACUUUGGGUUCAUUUGGGGUCAAAGCCAGUUUUUCUUUUAAAAUUGAAUUCAUUCUGAUGCUUGGCCCCCAUACCCCCAACCUUGUCCAGUGGAGCCCAACUUCUAAAGGUCAAUAUAUCAUCCUUUGGCAUCCCAACUAACAAUAAAGAGUAGGCUAUAAGGGAAGAUUGUCAAUAUUUUGUGGUAAGAAAAGCUACAGUCAUUUUUUCUUUGCACUUUGGAUGCUGAAAUUUUUCCCAUGGAACAUAGCCACAUCUAGAUAGAUGUGAGCUUUUUCUUCUGUUAAAAUUAUUCUUAAUGUCUGUAAAAACGAUUUUCUUCUGUAGAAUGUUUGACUUCGUAUUGACCCUUAUCUGUAAAACACCUAUUUGGGAUAAUAUUUGGAAAAAAAGUAAAUAGCUUUUUCAAAA